AUGAGUCUCGUCCACCUCUCUUCUGUAGUUCCUCCCUUUCCAUGUGUGUCUCCAUGGCCGCCCCACCUACGUAAUUCCUCCUCCCUCGAUCGCCCAUUCUCCAGCGCCCUCGACGAGGACCGCCCUCGUCAUGGCUCAAUGGAGCAGCGGCUGCUUGUCUUGGAGUUCCUGUUUGACUCGUCGUCUAGCCGUAGCGGGCCGCCGAUCCCCUAUAGUUCUUGUUCAUCUCUUCAUGUUCUUCAGGCUCUAAGCACCAAACUUGCAGGAGGCACUACAUUUGCGAACGACGACACCAGGAAUGAACAACUUCAUCAUCUUAUAAGAGCAUUGGAGCAAGAGAGAGCAAUGCACAAGAAAGAGCAAGAUAGAUCAAUGUUGCAGUUGCAUCAGAGAUUGUCAGCUAUAUAUGAAGAUAUGAAAGUGAAGAAAAAAAGGGGCAUGUGCCUUUAUCAU
Molecule: ribosomal RNA, 453 nt
Filed under: Triticum aestivum (bread wheat)
Lineage: Eukaryota; Viridiplantae; Streptophyta; Magnoliopsida; Poales; Poaceae
Description: partial small subunit ribosomal RNA
Source: RNAcentral